GACGAACGCUGGCGGCGUGCUUAACACAUGCAAGUCGAACGGAAAGGCCCUGCUUUUGUGGGGUGCUCGAGUGGCGAACGGGUGAGUAAAACGUGAGUAACCUGCCCUUGACUUUGGGAUAACUUCAGGAAACUGGGGCUCAUACCGGAUAGGAGCUCCUGCUGCAUGGUGGGGGUUGGAAAGUUUCGGCGGUUGGGGCUGGACUCGCGGCUUAUCAGCCUGUUGGUGGGGUAGUGGCUUACCAAGGCUUUGAAGGGUAGCCGGCCUGAGAGGGUGACCGGCCACAUUGGUACUGAGGUACGGCCCAGUCUCCUACGGGAGGCAGCAGUGGGGAAUAUUGCGCAAUAGGCGGGAGCCUGAUGCAGCAACGCCGCGUGCGGAAUGACGGCCUUCGAGUUGUAAACCGCUUUCGCCUGUGACGAAGCGUGAGUGACGGUAAUGGGUAAAAAAGCACCGGCUAACUACGUG
RNAcentral lists this ribosomal RNA (468 nucleotides) under uncultured bacterium. Its description in RNAcentral is "partial 16S ribosomal RNA". It matches the Rfam family "Bacterial small subunit ribosomal RNA", at positions 28 to 507 of the family's 1533-position model. The record is from RNAcentral.